RNAcentral lists this ribosomal RNA (254 nucleotides) under uncultured bacterium. Its description in RNAcentral is "partial 16S ribosomal RNA". It matches the Rfam family "Bacterial small subunit ribosomal RNA", at positions 524 to 776 of the family's 1533-position model. The record is from RNAcentral.
UACGGGGGGAGCAAGCGUUGUUCGGAUUUACUGGGCGUAAAGGGCGCGUAGGCGGUCAACCCAAGUCAGUUGUGAAAUCUCCGGGCUUAACUCGGAAAGGUCAACUGAUACUGUGCGACUAGAGUGCGGAAGGGGCAACUGGAAUUCUUGGUGUAGCGGUGAAAUGCGUAGAUAUCAAGAGGAACACCUGCGGCGAAGGCGGGUUGCUGGGCCGACACUGACGCUGAGGCGCGAAAGCCAGGGGAGCGAACAGG